RNAcentral lists this ribosomal RNA (373 nucleotides) under uncultured bacterium. RNAcentral's name for it is "bacterial SSU rRNA". It matches the Rfam family "Bacterial small subunit ribosomal RNA", at positions 527 to 898 of the family's 1533-position model. The record is from RNAcentral.
GAAGGGUGCAAGCGUUACUCGGAAUUACUGGGCGUAAAGCGUGCGUAGGUGGUUCGUUAAGUCUGAUGUGAAAGCCCUGGGCUCAACCUGGGAACUGCAUUGGAUACUGGCGACCUAGAGUGCGGUAGAGGGUAGCGGAAUUCCCGGUGUAGCAGUGAAAUGCGUAGAUAUCGGGAGGAACAUCCGUGGCGAAGGCGGCUACCUGGACCAGCACUGACACUGAGGCACGAAAGCGUGGGGAGCAAACAGGAUUAGAUACCCUGGUAGUCCACGCCCUAAACGAUGCGAACUGGAUGUUGGGUGCAACUUGGCACUCAGUAUCGAAGCUAACGCGUUAAGUUCGCCGCCUGGGAAGUACGGUCGCAAGACUGAA